GUCUGCGUAGCUUAACUAAAGCAUAGCACUGAAGCUGCUAAGAUAAACCCUAAAAAGUUUCACAGGCA
This 68-nucleotide transfer RNA is filed under the name Aesopia cornuta. RNAcentral describes it as "tRNA-Phe". Lineage: Eukaryota; Metazoa; Chordata; Actinopteri; Pleuronectiformes; Soleidae. The record is from RNAcentral.